Small nuclear RNA from Fukomys damarensis (Damara mole-rat), 107 nucleotides. Lineage: Eukaryota; Metazoa; Chordata; Mammalia; Rodentia; Bathyergidae. The record is from Ensembl.
GUGCUCGCUUCGGCAGCACAUAUACUAAAAUUGCAACGAUACAGAGAAGAUUAGCAUGGCCCCUGCACAAGGAUGACACGCAAAUUCGUGAAGAGUUCCAUGUCUUU